AACGAACGCUGGCGGCAUGCCUAACACAUGCAAGUCGAACGGGAUCCGGCCUUCGGGCCGGUGAGAGUGGCGGACGGGUGAGUAACGCGUGGGAACCUGCCCAUUGGUCUGGGAUAACUGCGGGAAACUGCAGCUAAUACCGGAUGUACCCGCGAGGGGAAAGAUUUAUCGCCGAUGGAGGGGCCCGCGUCAGAUUAGGUAGUUGGUGAGGUAACGGCUCACCAAGCCUACGAUCUGUAGCUGGUCUGAGAGGAUGAUCAGCCACACUGGGACUGAGAUACGGCCCAGACUCCUACGGGAGGCAGCAGUGGGGAAUAUUGGACAAUGGGGGCAACCCUGAUCCAGCAAUGCCGCGUGAGUGAUGAAGGUCUUCGGAUUGUAAAGCUCUUUUGGCAGGGACGAUGAUGACGGUACCUGCAGAAUAAGCUCCGGCUAACUUCGUG
This 443-nucleotide ribosomal RNA is filed under the name uncultured bacterium. RNAcentral describes it as "bacterial SSU rRNA". It matches the Rfam family "Bacterial small subunit ribosomal RNA", at positions 29 to 507 of the family's 1533-position model. The record is from RNAcentral.